AUUGAACGCUGGCGGCAGGCUUAACACAUGCAAGUCGAGCGGGGGAAGGUAGCUUGCUACCGGACCUAGCGGCGGACGGGUGAGUAAUGCUUAGGAAUCUGCCUAUUAGUGGGGGACAACAUCUCGAAAGGGAUGCUAAUACCGCAUACGUCCUACGGGAGAAAGCAGGGGAUCUUCGGACCUUGCGCUAAUAGAUGAGCCUAAGUCGGAUUAGUUAGUCGGUGGGGUAAAGGCCUACCAAGGCGACGAUCUGUAGCGGGUCUGAGAGGAUGAGCCGCCACACUGGGACUGAGACACGGCCCAGACUCCUACGGGAGGCAGCAGUGGGGAAUAUUGGACAAUGGGGGGAACCCUGAUCCAGCCAUGCCGCGUGUGUGAAGAAGGCCUUAUGGUUGUAAAGCACUUUAAGCGAGGAGGAGGCUACUUUAGUUAAUACCUAGAGAUAGUGGACGUUACUCGCAGAAUAAGCACCGGCUAACUCUGUGCCAGCCGCCGCAGUAA
Molecule: ribosomal RNA, 501 nt
Filed under: uncultured bacterium
Lineage: Bacteria
Description: partial 16S ribosomal RNA
Rfam family: Bacterial small subunit ribosomal RNA
Source: RNAcentral